This 539-nucleotide long non-coding RNA is filed under the name Anas platyrhynchos platyrhynchos (common mallard). Its description in RNAcentral is "lncRNA (ENSAPLG00000029340.1)". Lineage: Eukaryota; Metazoa; Chordata; Aves; Anseriformes; Anatidae. The record is from RNAcentral.
UUUUUCUUUUUUCUUCCAAAUUCACAGGUUGACGACAGCCACUUUCUGUAAUUCCUCGUGAGCAAACAUCCACCCCCCGAGCAGCUGCUGCCGCUGUGUCCAGUUCAAAGCCCCGUAGAUGUGAUUUGUGGGAUGGAGUCCUCGUAGGGAAUCGUUCUGGGGCUGGCAAGGGGCUGAGCAUCGGACAGCAGUGUUGGAGCUUGCUUCUGGGCUUCAGUGAUGGAAAGGAUUUUCCUGUGGGUCCAACUCAAGUGUGCAACCAGCAGAAGGUCCUGGCCAGCGCGGGUUUGCAUCCUGGUAGGGGGAAGCUUGGAGCAAGCAGGAAUGAGCCAAAGGUACAGAGCUUUCCCCGGAGAUCUGACGUGCUAACGCAGGAGGAUUCGGCAGCUGGAGCCUCCGAAGGUUUCAUUGAGAGCCAGGAGCCUGAUUCUGCCGCCGUCUCACCCAGGAGCUGGUGUUUUCCAGAGGACGAAGGGGGAGUGAGCCCAACCCCAACCGCACGCGUGCACCCAUCAGCGUUAAGCGUCCCUUGUUUUUAA